UACGAAGGGGGCUAGCGUUGCUCGGAAUCACUGGGCGUAAAGCGCACGUAGGCGGAUUCGUAAGUCAGGGGUGAAAUCCCGGGGCUCAACCUCGGAACUGCCUUUGAUACUGCGGGUCUUGAGUCCGAUAGAGGUGGGUGGAAUUCCUAGUGUAGGGGUGAAAUUCGUAGAUAUUAGGAAGAACACCGGUGGCGAAGGCGGCCCACUGGAUCGGUACUGACGCUGAGGUGCGAAAGCGUGGGAAGCAAACAGG
This 253-nucleotide ribosomal RNA is filed under the name uncultured bacterium. Its description in RNAcentral is "partial 16S ribosomal RNA". It matches the Rfam family "Bacterial small subunit ribosomal RNA", at positions 524 to 776 of the family's 1533-position model. The record is from RNAcentral.